Molecule: ribosomal RNA, 1000 nt
Filed under: uncultured bacterium
Lineage: Bacteria
Description: bacterial SSU rRNA
Rfam family: Bacterial small subunit ribosomal RNA
Source: RNAcentral
UCUAGGCAUGCAGUCGAACGAAUUUUUUAGCUUCGGCUAAAAAAAGAGUGGCAAGCGGGUGCGUAACACAUUGGUAACCUACCCCAAAGACAGGAAUAAGCCUUUGAAAAGAGGUCUAAUACCUGAUGUGCUGGUCUGGCAUAAGUCAGAUUAGUAAAGCUCCGACGCUUUGGGAGGGGCCUAUGGUCCAUCAGCUUGUUGGUAAGGUAAAAGCUUACCAAGGCUAUGACGGAUAGCGGGUGUGAGAGCACGACCCGCCUCACUGGGACUGAGACACUGCCCAGACUCCUACGGGAGGCUGCAGUCAAGAAUCUUCCCCAAUGGGCGAAAGCCUGAGGGAGCGACGCCGCGUGAAUGAAGACGCCCUUCGGGGUGUAAAAUUCUUUUAUUAGGGACGAACUAAUGACGGUACCUAAUGAAUAAGGGGCUGCUAAACUCGUGCCAGCAGCAGCGGUAAUACGAGUGCCCCAAGCGUUAUCCGGAUUUAUUGGGCGUAAAGAGUGCGUAGGUGGUUUGGUGUGUCAAUGGUAAAAUAUAUCUGCUUAACAGGUAGCCUGCCACUGAAACUGCCAGACUAGAGGCUGGGAGAGGUAAGCGGAAUUGCCGGUGUAGCGGUUAAAUGCGUUAAUAUCGGCAGGAACACCAAAUGCGUAGGCAGCUUACUAGAACAGACCUGACGCUGUUGCACGAAAGCGUGGGGAGCGAAGCGGAUUAGAUACCCGCGUAGUCCACGCCGUAAACGAUGGAUACUAGGCAUUGGGAGUAUCGACCCUUUCAGUGCCGUUGAACCAAGCUAACGCGUUAAGUAUCCCGCCUGGGGAGUACGGCCGCAAGGCUAAAACUCAAAGGAAUUGACGGGGACCCGCACAAGCGGUGGAGCAUGUGGUUUAAUACGACAUUAAGCGAAGAACCUUACCGGGACUUGACAUGUACCUGCACGCCUAUGGAAACAUAGCUCCUUCGAGGGUGGUACACAGGUGCUGCAUGGUUGUCGUCAGCU